Felis catus (domestic cat) is the source of this 6936-nucleotide long non-coding RNA. RefSeq lists it as uncharacterized. The transcript has 3 exons. The record is from RefSeq and is a predicted model, not a curated record. Lineage: Eukaryota; Metazoa; Chordata; Mammalia; Carnivora; Felidae.
UAGUUAGAGUUAGGGUUCAGUCCAGGGCCGUAAGCAUGGCUGAAACUACACCAGUCCCGUUGUCUCCAUGUGGGGCUGAAUGAGGGCCCAUGCGUGGGUGCGGUUCAGAUGUAGGGUUAGCAUUAGUGUUGGGGUGAGGUUGAGGUUGAGGAGGACAACGAGGAUCCUGGUUAUGUUUAGGGUUAGGUUCCAGGAAUCCCCAGAUGCUGAACCCAUAGUUGUGCAGUGGUCUCCCUGAAGAGCAGAGUGGAGGGUGCAUGGGAGGGUGUCGUACAACUUAGUCUUUGGUUGCCAGGGCCAGCCUCAGGUGUGGGCCACUCUUCAGUUGGGCCUCAGCAACCCCCUGUGCACCUCCCUCUGAACUUUGGAAAUUACCUGGUGACGUUCCACUUUCCAUGGAAAGUAAUGCUGCACCGCUUCUGGGCCCACAUGUGUGUGGUCAUAUCAGACUUAGGAAUUUGGUCCUCAUCGGGAGAGAGUCUUAGCUAGUGUUAGGGUUUGGCCCAGGGACAUAGAUAGGGCUGAAGGGAUAGGAGUCCCAUGAUCGCCCUGGAAGGCUGAAGUGAGGGCCCAUGCACUAAUGCGUGUAAGGUUUAGGAUUAUGGUUAGAGUUGGUGUGAACUUUAGGUUGAGGGGUAUGGUGAGGGUCACCAUUACUGUUAGGGUUAGGUCCCAGGAGGUUCCAGGCGGUGAACUCAUAGCAGUGCAGUGGUCUCCACAGAGGGCUGAGUGGAAGCUGCAUGGGAGCCUACAGUUCAGACUUAGUCUUUGCGUGCCAGGGCAGCAUCCUAUGUGUGACACUCUUCAGUUGGGCCUCAGCAACCUUCUUGUGCAGCUCCAUCUCAGCAGUGCAAAUGAAAUGAUGAUAUUCCAAUUCCAUUCUGAAGAAUACUGCAGGGGUUUGGGCCCUAUGUGCAUGGUGUUCUCAGAGUUAGGAACUGGAUCCCCAUUGGGGGAGAGCCAUAGCUAGGGUCACGAUUUGGUCCAGAGACAUAAGCAGGGCUGAAGCGACACCAGUCCCAUUAUCUACAUGGAGGGCUGAAUGAGUGCCCAUGCAGGGGUGCAGGUCAGGUUUAGGGUUACCUUUAGAGUUGGGGUGAGGUUGAAGAUGAUGUGUAUGGCUCCGGUAAAUAUAAUGGUUAGGUUUUGUCCUAGGUGGCUCCAGGCGCUGAAGCACCAGCAGUGCUGUGGUCUUCCCGGAGGGCUCAGUGGUGAGCACGUGGGAGGGUGUGGGUCAUGCUUAGUCUUUGAGAGCCAGGGCGAGCCUCCUUUGUGGGCCACACUUUGGUUGAGCCUCAGGAACCGCUUCUGAAACAACAUCCAGGCUUUGGAUAUUACAUGGUGAUAUUCCAUAUUCCAUGCCGAGUAAUCCGUCUCUUCUUCUGUACCCCCUGUGUGAGGUAUCCUUAGACUUAAGAAUCAGGUCACCAUCUGGAGAGAGCUUUAGUUAGAGUUGGGUUUCAGACCAGGGCCAUAGGCAGGGCCAAAGCUACCCCAUUCCACUUACUUCCAUGCGGUGAAGAAUAAUGGCCAGUGUGCAGUUAAGGGUCAGUUUUAGGGUUAGCGUUAGUGUCAGAAUGAGUUUGAGGUUCAGGGUAUGGUGAGGGUCACGGUUAGUGUUAGGGUUAGAGCCCAAGAAAUUCCAGGUGGUGAACCCCUAGCAUCACAGUGGUCUCCACGGAAGGCUGAAUGGUGGCUGCACGGGAGCCUUCAGUUCAGACUUAUUCUUUGUGUUUCAAGGCCAGCCUCACAUGUGUGCCAUGCUUCAUUUGGGUCUCAGCAACCUCCUGGGGCAGCUCCAUCCCAGCAGUGGAAACGAAAUGAUGAUGUUCCAAUUCCAUACCAAAUAAUAUUGCAGGGGUUUUGACCUAUAGGCAUGGUGUUUCAGAAUUAGGACCAUAUACCAAUUGGGAGAGAACCACAGAUAGGGUGAGGUUCCAUCCAGGGACAUAAGCAGGGCUGAAGAGACACCGGUCCCGUUAUCUCCAUGGGGCCUGUAUGAGGGCCAAUGCGCGGGUGAGGGUCAGGUGUAGGAUUAGCAUUAGAGUUGGGGUGAGGUAUAGGUUGAGGAGUACGGGUAGGGUUACGGUUCAGGUUAGGAGUAGGUUCCAGGAGUCCCAAGGUGCUGAAGCCAAGGCAGUGCAGUUGUUUCUCUGGGGGACUCAGAGGAGGGCACAUGGGAGGGUGCCGGUCAUGCUUAGACUUUGGGUGCCAAGGCCAGCCUCUUGUUGACGUUAGACUUGGGGUGAGGUUCCGAUUGAGGAGUAUGGUUUGGGUCAUGAUUAGGGUGAGGGAUAGCUCCAAGGAGUCCCCAGGUGAUGAACUCCAUGCAGUGCAGUGGUCUCCCGGGAGGGCUCAGUGGAGAGCGCAUGGGAGGGUGCUGGUCAGGCUUAGUCUUUGGUUACCAGUGCCAGCCUAGCAUGUGGGCCACUCUUCGUUUGGGCCUCAGCAGGCACUUUGGCGCCUCCCUCUGGUAUUUGGACAUGACAUGGUGGUCGUCCACAUUCCAUGUGGAGUAAUCCUGCACUGCUUCUGGGCCCCAUGUGCCUGAUAUUCUCUGCAUUAGGAAUUGGAUCCCCAUUGGGAUAGAGAAAUAGCUAGAGUUACAGUUUGAUCCAGGGACAUAAGCAAGGCUGACAAAACAACAUUCCAUUUAUCUCCACUGAGUCUGAGUGAGAGCCAUGCGUGGUAGCAGAUCAGAGGUAGGGUUAGUGUUAGAGUUGGGGUUAGGUUUAGGUUGAGGAAUACGGCAAGGGUCAUGGUGAGGGUUAGGGGUAGGUUCCAGGAGUCUCUUAAGUGCAGAACCUUAGUAGUGCAGAGGUCUCCUAGAGGGUUGAGUGGAGGGCGCAAGGGAUGGUGCCAUUCAUUCUUAGUCUUAGGGUGUCAAGGCCAUCCUCGGGUGUAGGACACUCCUUAGUUGGGCCUCAGCAGCGCCCUUGUGCAGCUGCCUCUGGGCUUUGGAAAUGACAUGGUGAUGUUCCAGGUUCCGCGCCGAGUGAUCCUGCACUGCUUCUCUACACCAUGUGUGUGCUGUUGUCCAUUAUUGGAAUUGGGUCCCCAUGAAGAGGGAGACAUAGCUAGGGUUAGGAUUCUGUGCUGGGACAUCACCAGGGCAGAAGGACUCCAGUCUUGUGAAUUUUAUGGAGGGCUGAAGUGAGAACCCUUGCGAGGGUACGGGUCUGGUAUGUGCCCCACACUCUUAUUGUGGGAGGCUAUUCAUGCAUGGGCACUGCCACACCUAGGGACAGAAGGGUAUUCACACACGUGCACAAACCCUCUCAUGUGGAAUGGUGUUCGCGCAUGCGCCCAGCCUUUUCCACGGGGAGAAGGUUCUCAUAUGCACCACACCCACUUGACAUGGCAGGGUGUUCACGCAUAUGAACGAGCCCCUCUCUAUGAGGGAGGGGUGCUUUCGUGCAUGUGCCAUGUAACUCUGUGGCCAGGGAGGCUGUUGACAUAUGCUCCCCGCUCCCCUCGCCAGAAUGGUGUUCACGCAUAUGCAAAGAUCCCCCUCCUGUCCGAAGGGGGUUGAGGCAUGCCCACAACACCCGCUCUGUGAGGUAGACCAUUUGUGAAGGCACACAACCCUCCCUCAGCAAGGGAGAGCGUUCAUGCUUGGCCCAACUCACCUCGGUGGAAGGGUGUUCACACGUGCACAGAACCGUCCUCAGCGAUGGAGGUUGUUCAAACAUGCGCCCCACCUCACUUGACGCCAGAUGUGUUUCAGGAUUCUGCCUUGCCCCUGGUUGGUGUAUGAGAUGGUCACGCAUGCACAGUGCCAUCCUUCAGGGAGAGAGUAGUGAUGUCACCAUUAAAUGUGAUGAUUCACGAAUGGUUCUUUCACUUUCACAGUUGAAGAAACAUGGGUGUCUUAAGGUAAGGGUUAGGGUUGGCACUGACAUAAGGGGAGGGUAAGUCUUAGGUCAUACUUCCUCCACUCUGGGUAUGGAAGGUUUUCAAGCAUUAGCGCUCCCCCCCCCCCCGCCUUUGGACAGGAGGGAAUUGAAACAUGCACCCUCCCACAUCAAGGGAGGGGGUCACCAUUGCGCCAUUGUCUCUGGAAUGGAGGGGUAUCACUCAUGUGCACUCCCCCACAUCAGCACGGGAGAGGAUCGUGCAUGUGUCCCUUCUGCAUCCCUUCAUCGGCGAUGUAGCGUUGAUGUUCCUUUUAGGUCACACGUGUUUUGUACUGCCUCAGCCAUUCAGUGGAUUAAGUGUCCCACUUUGGUUCAGGUCAUGGUCUCACGGUUUGUGGGUUCGAACCCUGGCUUCACCUCUGUGCUGAUGGCUCUGACCAUGGAGCCUGCUUCAAAUACUGUGUCUCACUCUCUGUCUGCCCCUUCCCCACGUGUGUUCUUUAUCUCUCUAUCCCUCUCUUUCUCUCUCUCUCUCUCUCAAAAAAAAAAAAAUGAAGCUAAAAACAAUUGAAAGCAGCUCCAUCUGUCAACUUGUCUUCUUGCCCUAUUCCCGCCUCUUCACAGGAAGGUCCAUUUCACCUAUUGGAAGAGACAGUAAAACCCUCGUAUGGCCAUUCAUAUGAGUCACUAUUUAGGGCACAAGUGAUUAUGCUACCUUUGCACGGUCAGGAUACCAUGGCCAUUUCACGAAUGUCCCUGGGCAGGCAGGGCCUCUAAAACUACAAAUGCUAGAGGUGAUUUUACUGGUAAACAGAUGGGGUUUGUGUUUGCUGAGCUCCUUUUACUUCUUUUCAUCUUCCUUGAUUGCCUAUCUGUGUUGCGUCAACAAUUGGUUUGAUAUUGACUUCACACUUAGGUUAUUUUUAUCUUAUGGUUAACUAUCCAUGGUUAUAGAGCUUAGGCAAGUACAAAUAUUUCUUGUUGCACAUACUAGCAUUAUUGUUUCUAUUGUGAAAUACACCCAGUGUUAACUUAGGAGUUGGUUGUCUAUUUUUGAUACUCAGAUCUUAAGAUCAUAUACCAGUGCCUGAGCUCUACUACGAAUGCUCAUGGCCAUAACUCUAACAGCCGCCUACAGUGUGUGAAUCAUAUAUUUUGACCUUCAAGGACAGCCUUGAUAUCCCUACAUUGGCAAUACAGGGGUCUGAUGCUUGCAGCCCUUCUGUGCCCCUUCAUUGGCCAUGUAGAUAUGUCACGCCUGUGUCCCUUCCUGGGCCAUGUAGGGGCGAGCCACCUGUGCCCCUUCAUGGUCUAUGUAGGGGUGUGGCGCCAGCAACCCUUCAUGGCCACUAUAGUGUUUGUACUGUCAUGGUUUCCAGGACGCACCUGGGGUCUCCGGACAUAUCCCCAUGGAUAACGGGGAGCUUCUGUAGUCGUGUUCCUCUGCAUUACACCUCCCCACAAGGCUCUCCUCUCCAGAUAAAUACUACAGGAUCAGGAACCACUUUUCUUUGCAGUUUCUUCUUGUGGAAACAUCUUGUCUUUGCUUAGCAUGGCUGCUUUGGCCUCUCCACCAUCUUCUGGAGGUUCCUUUACCUUUGAACUGUUCUUCACUCACUUCUUUUGAGUGAGCUGUCUGCCUCUGUCGCAGUCCUGCACCAGUGGUAAUUUGUACCAUGUGUGGCCAUAGGAAACCAGUUGAAAAUGGAACUCUGGGACUGGACUGCUCUUCCAGUAGAAGACAUACAAGUAGCUUCAUUGAUGGCAGAAGUGGAUACUGGACAUUGGUGGCUUGCAUCUUCCCUCUACCUCUAUACUCCAAGUUCCUGGCUGGCACUGGAAUUACAUCCUUAGCAUGGACAUCAUAACCUCCAGGUGAGGACAGUUUUUGAACAAGACGUAUUUUACUAAAGGACUCGUGGAUUGCGGGGUCUCACGACAUCACCUCAUAGAUGCAGUCGAUGGUUUGCUCCAGAUUCAGGUUUGUUUCCAGGAAGAAACCCUAACAGAAAUUCAGAAGCAUGGGAGCUGCAUUCAAUUAGGACGUGGAUCCAUGAAAUGCUCGUCUCAGGACCUUCUAGAAGAAUGAGCUGGGACCCACGUUCCGAGUCCUGCUGGAACCAGAGACCGAGGUAAGAGCAAAAACUGUCCCCACAUCAUACAUGCAUUUUAAAAAAUUUCAUGGUUAUUUUUCCAACCUAGUGAAGUGAUUGAAAACUACAGAAAACUUGGUUUGUACCCGUCAUUAACCUUAUGUUAUCUUCUAAUUUAAAUUACAGUGAGUAAAGAUACAGUGUAAUAUUAGUUUCAGGUGUACAAUAUAGAGCAACACUUCCACACGUCACCCGGUGAUCAUCCUAGGUGCACUUCUUAAUCCCCAUCAGCUGUUUCACCCAUUCCCCCACCUCGCUGUGGAACUCCUCAGUUUGUUUCCUAGUUUAGAGUCUGUUUGUCCCUGUCUCCUUCCCCCACCCCCGCCUUUGUUUUGUUUUAUUGCCAUGUGUUCGUGAAAUCAUCGGGUAUAUGUCUUUCUCUGACAGGCUUAUUUCACCCAGCAUAACAUUCUCUCCCUCUAUCCACCUCGUGGCAAAUGACAAGAUUUCAUGCUUUUACGGCUAAAUAAUAUUACAUUCCAUAUACUACAUCUCAAUUUAUUCAUCACUGAUGGAUGCUUGGGCAGUUUCCGUAAUAUGGCUGUUGUAGAAAAUGCUUCUGUAAACAUCAGGGUGCAUGUAUCCCUUUGAAGAAUUAUUUUUGUAUUCUUUGUGUAAAUACCUCGUAGUGAAAUUGCUGGAUCGUAAGGUAGUUCUAUUUCCAGGUGUUUUUGUUGUUGUUGUUGUUGUUGUUGUUGUUGUUGUUGUUUUUACAAAUCUCCAUGAUGUUUUCCAGAGUAGCUGCACCAGUUUGCAUUCCUCCCCACAGUGUAAGAGGUUUCCUCUUUUCCCAUAUCCUUGGCAACAACUGCUGUUUCAUCAUUCAUUGAUUUUAGUCAUUCUCACAGAUGUGAUGUAUUAUCUCAUUGUACUUUUGAAUUUAAUUUCCCCGAAGAUCAGUAUUGUUGAGCAUCUUUUCAUGUGUC